RNAcentral lists this ribosomal RNA (157 nucleotides) under Dermatocarpon miniatum. Its description in RNAcentral is "5.8S ribosomal RNA". It matches the Rfam family "5.8S ribosomal RNA". From Rfam's summary of the family: 5.8S ribosomal RNA (5.8S rRNA) is a component of the large subunit of the eukaryotic ribosome. It is transcribed by RNA polymerase I as part of the 45S precursor that also contains 18S and 28S rRNA. Lineage: Eukaryota; Fungi; Ascomycota; Eurotiomycetes; Verrucariales; Verrucariaceae. The record is from RNAcentral.
UUUCAACAACGGAUCUCUUGGUUCUGGCAACGAUGAAGAACGCAGCAAAAUGCGAUAACUAAUGUGAAUUGCAGAUUUCAGUGAAUCAUCGAGUUUUUGAACGCACAUUGCGCCCUCUGGUAUUCCGGAGGGCAUGCCUGUUCGAGCGUCAUUACAC